AUGUUCUUACUUUUUCAAAGCUGGGUCAGGAACUACGCAGAAAACGGAAGAGUUCUUUUCGAUGAAAAUUGGUUUGAUCUCAUUCAUCAUUUCAUGAACGAGUCCUCCAAAUUUCCUCCGUAUAGCUGUAAUACUGUAAAUACUCCUAGUGAUUUCACCCUUGUAGAUAAUGACGUAACAUUUAAUAGUUCUUCUGAUGAAUCUGAGUCUCCGGUUAUCAUGUCAAGGAAACCUUUCGCAUCUAGUCCCGUAGUACUAGAAAGUGAGCCGAAGUGUUUAGAAUCAAAUUCUCCGAUCUUGUCUGGCAACAGUUUUAAAACAAUAUUGAGUCCUGUUAAUUGUAAACUGAAAACUCAUAGUGAUCUACAAGCAGGGAGUACCUCCACACCAAAGUUACCUUCUAAGUUCAAAGCAAGUAGUUCUGUAAUGAGUCAACGUAUGGAUAGUAAUUCCUCCUUCCAAAUAUCCAUCCCCCUAAAAGUUUCUGUCAGCAAUCAAGUAGUAAACAAUAACCUAAGAAACAGUGAUCGUGCUACAUUUGAUGAAAAAAAUAUGUUGAAAAUGUUUGGUGGCAGUAGUAAUCCAUCGUCCUUUUCACCAGAGAUUUUAACUUUCCAGAUUUCUAGUCCAGUUGGUUGUGGAUCAUCAAAACGACUGUUUCCUAAUGAGAAUAAUGUGGUCACAACUUUCAAAAAAGAGAAAGAGCAAGAUAUUACAGAUCUGAAAGAAAUUUUCUUUGGUUCUCCCAAGUACUUUAUUAGUGACAUGUGUAAUUCAGAGAAAAAUACAAAAACUUAUGAACACAGAUCAUUGAUGGAACACGACAUCUGUAAGAAAACAUCUACCUCUUCACCAGAAAUUUUGACUAGUAAAGUUUCAAAAUCAGUGAAUCUUGCAAUAUCACAGCAACUGUGUGCUGAUGGAAAUGGCGUUGCCUCAUCUGUUGGAGAGGGGACCAAACAAGCUGACUGCAUUGAAAAUGUAAAACAAAUCUUGUCAGACUCUUUUGACAUGUUUCUUGGAAAUUUUGAAGAUGACUUUUUGCCCUCAGUCCAGCCUCCAGAGAGCUUUUCUCAAGAUCAGGUCCUCACACAAAAAGAAAAUAAUGCUCCAAACUUUACUUUAAAUAUUAAACCCAAUGAAGGUUUGAAACCUACAAUUUCAAAGAGUACAUCAGGAAUUGAUACUGCCAUGGCUCAAGUUGAGAGUGAAUUUGGUUUCCGUCUCAGGAAAAAUCUUACAUUUUCUUCUUUAUCUACGAAAAGCAGUAUUCUGUUAAAAGAGUCUUUGUCCUCUUGCAAUUAUAACCCUCAGUUAAACAGAGGGCUCAGGGAUGAGUGCAAAAGUAAAGACACAGAAUCGUCAGUCCUCACCCAGUCCAUGCACAAGACCAAAGAUUUUCGACCUGGUAAUGAAAAUUCAGAUUUGCCUCAAGGAAAAUAUUCAAAUGAAGAUGGUGUGCCAUUUAUGGAGCAAGAAAUGAGUAAUAAAUCGACCGUUGUCAGAAAAUGUCAUGAAGGUGGCAUGCAAAACCCAAAACUUGAAAAAGAUUCUUCAAAAAAUAUAAUUCCGCAGAAAAUUUCAAUCUUCUAA
Molecule: long non-coding RNA, 1593 nt
Filed under: Bemisia tabaci
Lineage: Eukaryota; Metazoa; Arthropoda; Insecta; Hemiptera; Aleyrodidae
Description: lncRNA ENSSSA1NGG011924
Source: RNAcentral